UCCUUUAUUAAUUAGUUACAAUCGUAGCAUCAGAAACAAUCAGGGGGAUAACCGCUCCUGGGGCCGUAUGUAACACCCACGAUGCGGCUAUAUCUCCCACGUGUCAAAGCACGACUUAGAGGCAUAACCACAUUGUGGUUUUGUCGCAAGAAGGGUCAUCUUCACACAAUCCCAUGUAAUGAACAAGACUGGGAUAAAGAGUUGGCUUACAAUCGCCACUUCACACAAGUACUUAAAUAAAUCAUACAUCAUUCAGAGUACACACAUAGUCCGACUACGGACGAAGCCAAAAGAAAAAGAAGAUAACCCAACUGCUAGAUCCCCGAUCGUCCCAACUGGGCUCCACUACUGAUCAACAAGAAACAACACAUAGCAACAACUAAGAUCUUCGUUGAGCUCCCAUCUGAGCUAGGUAGCAUCCUUUGCACUGGUAUCAUCGGCACCUGCAACUGUUGUGAUAGUAUCUGGUGAGUCACGAGGACUCAGCAAUCUCAAAACCCGCGAGAUCAAGACUAUUUAAGCUUAUAGGAAGGAUGGGGUAAUGAGGUGGAGCUGCAGCAAGCACUAAGCAAAUAUGGUGGCUAACAUACGCAAAAGAGAGCGAGAAGAGGAGCAAAGGAACGGUCGUCAACUAGAAAUGAUCAAGAGGUGAUCCUGACCUCCUACUUACGUCAAACAUAACCCAAAACCGUGUUCACUUCCCGGACUCCGCCGAGAAGAGACCAUCACGGCUACACACGCGGUUGAUGCGUUUUAAUUCGGAUCUGGUGUCAAGUUGUCUACAACCGGACAUUAACAAAUUCCCAUCUGCCACAUAACCGCGGGCACGGCUCUCGAAAGUUUAUACCCUGCAGGGGUGUUUCAACUUAGCCCAUCACAAGCUCUCACGGUCAACGAAGGAUAUUCCUUCUCCCAGGAAGACCCGAUCAGUCUCGGAAUCCCGGUUUAUAAGACAUUUCGACAAUGGUAAAACAAGACCAGCAAGACCACCCGCUGUGCCAACAAAUCCCGAUAGGAGCUGCACAUAUCUCGUUCUCAGGGCACACCGGAUAAGCUAAGCGUACAGGUACCAACGUAAUCCAAGUUGCCAAGGAAUGGUCCCGCACGGUGCUCUAGUUUGGACCAACACUCGAAGGAGCACUGGCCCGGGGGGGUAAAAUAAAGAUGAUCCUUGAGUCUGCAGAACCCAAGGGAAAAAGGCUUAGGUGGCAAAUGUUAAAACCAAGGUUGGGCCUUGCUGGAGGAGUUUUAUUCAAAGCGAACUGUCAAGGGGGUCCCAUAAAUCACCCAACCGCGUAAGGAACGCAAAAUCAAGGAACAUAACACCGGUAUGACGGAAACUAGGGCGGCAAGAGUGGAACAAAACACCAGGCAUAAGGCCGAGCCUUCCACCCUUUACCAAGUAUAUAGAUGCAUUAAUUAAAUAAGAGAUAUUGUGAUAUCCCAACAUAAUCUUGUCCAACAUGGAGCAAUCUUCAACUUCACCUACAACUAGCAACGCUAUAAGAGGGGCUGAGCAAAGCGGUAACAUAGCCAAGCAAUGGUUUGCUAGGAAGGGUGAAAAUGUUAGAGGCUGACAUGGCAAUUUGGGAGGCUUGGUAAAACAAGUGAUAGGUAGCGCAGCAUAGCGAUAGAACGGAGCAACUAGCAAGCAAAGAUAGAAGUGAUAUCAAGGGUAACGGUCAUCUUGCUUGAGAUCCCGCAAGGAAGAAGAACGAGUCCAUGAAGAAGACAAACGCACGUAGUCGCACGAAUCCUCACAACUCCAGAACGAAACCGAAGCUAACGAGAGAAGCAAACCGGAAAGAAACAAACAACAUGGUAAACACACAAGCAUAAACAUGUCAUGAUGCACAAACAAGUAUGAUGCAUGUCCGGUUUAAUGAGGCAUGACAUGACAAGGUGAAACAAACAACACUACAAUUUAAGUGGAGCUCAAUAUGCAACGAGUUGCAUAUUGACGAAACACCACAUCAAUUAUUUAGUUCUCUCUCGGUUAAGAUACUCAAUAAUAUUAAAUGUUGGUUAACAUGGCAAGAGGUGAAGCAUAAUUAAACUACAUAUUUAGGCAAGUUUAAAUGAGGCCGGAAACACAAACAACACUUCCGAAAAAUCCCCAUGUCAUUUAGCAAUUUAAAGCAAGCAACAAUUUUAAACAUUUUAAUUGUUGUUAUCCUGAUGCGGAUGACAUAUGCAAGUUUUAUGCAAUUUUUAUGAAAAUGUUGACAUAAGCAUGUUAUGAAGCAUUUGUCACCGUGGCGGAACGAAAGGGGUGCCACGGCAACUACAACGGAAAUGGUGCCACGGCAACAUUCCGGUGAUCCGACAACUCGUCGAGAUGUGGGUGCAAAAGAAAGUGUGCGGAUGUGCGGAACAUGCAAAAUAUGGUGGGGUGAUCUCGGAUACCGGGUACCCACGUGACAGUGGCAUGGCAAAAUGAUGGACAUGCACGAAACAAACGGGCAUGGUGCAAACAAGGACAUCUCAUUCAACACAUGCAUUCGGCGGUCGUCUCGGCUGUUAUUCCUUCGAAGCGUGCAUUUUCAGGGCGAAAUGAGUUCAACGAAGGAAGUAGUGGUACACGGGCCGUAGUGGAAGUAGUCGUUCUCGCGGCCGUAGUGGAAGUAGUUUUUCACGUGGCGACGGUAGUGGAAGUAGGCGUUCACGGGACGUCGUGUAGCCGUACAUGUUCGAAGCAGAACUUGGCGUAUCCACGUAGUUGGCGUUCCGGUCCUGUAGUCGUACUAGGCAUCCGGUGAACUUGGCGAAAUCCACGAAGGCGUAGACGUUCCAAUGUACUUGAUGCAUCAGCAGGUGUAGUCGGUCUUGACGAUCCAAAACGAAGCAAAACCAGGGCCUCGAGUGGCAGCAGCAAGGAGGCGAAGGAGCCCUGGCCAGAGAUGGUUUAGGUAGCGGCAAACCAUGAGCAAGGUGGGGCUGCCGGGCCAAGGUGGAGGCGCUCGGUCCUCGGGCACGAGCGGGAGGCGGACAGCAGCGGACGAAGGCGGCAGUGAGGCGACGGGGGACAAGGGCGAGGCGGCGUCGCGGGGUUACGGGAGGCGAAGCCACACGGGUCACGCGGCUGUUGUUGGUGGGGCGGCACACGAGGAGGUCAGGGAUGGGUCGUCGUGGCUGGAACCAGGGUGGAGGCGCACAGGAGGAGGGUGGAGGCGCGCUGGAGGUGGUGGUCCUCGCGGGUGCAAGGCGGUCGGUGCUGGGCUCCAACGAACUCCAGCCAAAACGGAGGGGACGAGCAGCGCGGGGCUCCUGCUGGGCGCGGAGGACGAUGGAUGAGGGCGCAGGUGCUCGAGGAGCUCCUCUCCUCGAGUGCUCGGGCGACAGGGACUUGGCGAGGCGGCACGGAUGGGACGCCGACGGCAAGGGCGACGCAGAGAUCGUCAAUGCGCCAACGUGCGGGGUCGGCCUCGAGGAGGUCGAUGAGGGGAAGGAAGGAGCGGCGCGGCUCUGGGGUAGCCGGCGAGCUGCGGGCGGCUGGCGGCGCUGGAGAGAUCAAGCAGGGGAAGCGAGAGGGGGAUUCGAUCAGGCUAGGGUUAGAUAGGCGCGGCUGGGCUUAGGAGGGAUAGUUGGGCCGCUGGUUGGGCCUCGUGGCCUGCUAGGAACAGGCCGAGUUGCGGCUGCUCUCCUUCUCUCUCCCAAAAACAGAAAAAUGACAAGGAAGAAAAAGAAGAAAUGAAGGUAGAGAUAGAAUUUGGGCAUGGGGAUUAUUUCCCCGGACUCGCAUAAAUGCGCUUGUUCCAAGAAAAAUAGAAAGUGAGCAUGGGCGUGAAGUAGAAUUCAAACUCAUUUGAAUUUAAUUCAAAUGGUUUGAACUAGGACAAGGUUUGGAGACUAAACUUGAAGCAUAAAAGGAACGAAAUUAUUUUGCAAGUGUGUUUAUGGGUGAUUCCAAAUAAAUGGAAUAAUUUUAGUAUAGCUCCCUAAUAAUAGUAGGAGACUUUGAAUAUGUUUUAAAGAGAAAUCACCAUGUGAAUAUCCCUCGAUUUAAAUAGAUCAAAAGAUCUAUGCAAUUUAUUUAGUUGAGGUUUUAAAAAAUUUAUGAUAUGAUGGCAUGAUGACAUGAUGCAAUACAAGAGAUGGCAUGAUGAAUCCACAAACAAAACAAAUCACACGAUAAAACUCAAAAUAGCUGGAAGUCUUCUGGAGCGUCGGUCUCGGGGCGUUACAACACUCCACCACUACAAGAGGAUCUCGUCCCGAGAUCUAGGAUGGCACCGGAGAGAAAUGGAAGAUGAAGAGAAGAGGUAAAACUAAGUUGCUUCUUCGACCAAUGAGUGAAACCAAAGAACCUUGAGAGGUUGAAAAGUUGAAAGAAAGAACACAAUGGAGUUGAACACAAUCGAGAGCACUGCGGUAGAAAAUAGAAACAAGGAACACCAUGUGAACCUUGGAGGUUGCAAAGCUAUGAAUGACGAGUACAAUGGACAAGAAGGAAUUGGAACCACUCUGGUUGAAACGAGAGGCAAAACUUGAUAAGAUGAAAGAACUUGAAUGAGAACACAACACUCCGGUUAAAUGGAUAAGCAUGAAAAGAACACGAUCCUCUAUUCGAGAAGAGGAGUGAAGAGAGCAACAUCACAAUGCCUCCGAAAGAAAUAAUAGAAGAUAGAUCAUUGGAAUAACAGAAUGGAGAAGAAAAUGCCAAGCACCCUUCCAAGAAGGUUAUAACGGAGUUGUUGGAAAACCAACAACGAAACGAAUAAGCUUGUAGUGGGCUUAUGGAAAACAUCUCAAAAUUGAGGCAAAAUUCUGCCACUACGGAAACAACUAAUAUAAUUGAUAACACGAACGAGAUGAAAAAAAAACUUCUUCCAACAAGAUGAUAGAGAGAUAACUUGGAUCAUUGAUAAGCACCACAAUAGCAACAUUCCUUAGGGAAGGCUUUAGGUGAAAUAUAACCCAAGAUAACUCCAAUAAAGAGAUUGAUGGAUUUAAAAUACCUCAUUCUUGACAACAUAUGAAUCAAGAAACAUGAAGGAAAUUGUCAAGAGUGACAUAACACCACCUCAAAAGAUAAGGUAGAAAGAAUCGCACUUUGGAAUGCAAGAUGAAGAAUACUUGAACUCCCCAAAACAAAACAUGUGUUGAGCACCAUGUUUAUCUUAGAGUAUAGCUUGGCGGAUCAUAACUUUGAGAGAAAACUUAAGGAACAAUUGAAGAAUGAAAGAAUCCUUGACGAACCACCAUGUAGAACCUCCAUGAAGAACUCCGGUAAUAAAAGGAUGAUAGAAAGAAAGAGAGGUUGAAAACACAAGGUGAAACCUUGCAAUGAUUUAGAUGGAGCUUCGCGACGAUAUAACCGAGGAAACUUGGGACUCCGGGAACAAAAGAUGAACAACUAGGAACCGAGAAUUACUUCAUCAAGAACAAUCUUCGGAAGAAAAGAAUUGAAUCACCUCGAGGAAUAAGAAUAAUAUUUAUUGUAUGAUUAUCUUCCAUCAAAAUUAAAUUGAUGACAAGCAGCAGAUAGGCAUGCUACUUAUUCUCGUAGAAAGGAUUAAAAAGAGUUAUAGCGCGAACUUGAAAAAGGUCUUCAACAACCACCGGUAGGAUUGAAACAAUGAAAGAAUGAAUGAAUUGAUACGAUAACGAAGGAAGCGAAAUCUUGAACGAACCGUCAUAAGAAUUGAAAAUGAACGUAGCAAAGGCACAAUUCACCGGGAAGGAUUGAAAAACGAAUGAAGAUACUUGAGGGUUUAGAUACAUGAGAACGAAGAGAUCAUGAACUGAUUAGAGGAUAUUUGAACGAUGCACCGGUAAGAUUUGAAGAACGAUAGCUACACGCUGAGAAUGAAGAAUUAUGACAUGAUGGCCUUCGGAGGAAAGAAAUGGAAACAACUCAUGAAAUGCUCUGGAUGGGUGAAAAGAAUUGUCACAAUCAAAAACAAUUAUGAGAGGAUGGCAUCAAGCUAGAACCAUGAAUCUCUGGAAGAACGGGUAAGGAUUUAAGAGGAACUCUUCUUCGGUCUUCAAAAUUCGAGCAUGACGACGAGAAACACCACCAUGAAUUGUUGAGGCACUCCGGAAUGACCAUUAGAAAGGUUGAACCAACAAUGAAAAAUAAUUUGAAAUUGGUCUUGGAAAACAUCUGACUGAUGAAAUUCAUUCUUACGUCAAACUUCAAAAAGAAUUCGGAAAUAGCUCCGGGGAAAAUUAGAAGAGUCAGGUAAGAUCCUGGGAAAGACAUGUGGGUUAGGGCCCACUCAAUGGAAAACACCGUUGAAUGAUUGAUUGAAAAGAGAGAUUGCACCGGUUGAAAUAAAUGGCUUAAAUGAGAUAACAACCUCAAAGUAACUUGAACGGAUUGAGAAUGGAAACACAAAUCUUCCUGAGAAAAUCUUAAUCACUCCGGAACAAAUGAAUAGCGAGAAGUGAAUGAUUAAGAGGUGCAUCGGCAUGAGAAAGCAUUAGAAACGAGGAAAGGAAUAUGAUGAAAACCGAAAUCUUGAAUUGAAUCCACCGGAGAAGAAAAGAGACGAAGAAUAAUAAACUUGAAGCUCCGUUAGUAUCUUCCUGAGAAUCAUCGGAUAAGAACAUUGACGGAAAAGAAUGUAGAGACUUCGCAUCAAUAAAAGGAUACUUGAUUAAGAAAUUUGAGUCCUUGAAGAAAAGGGUGGGAGGGCGGGAAAACAAAGGCAACUUGGGGAAGAUGGAACCAACCCUGUUGAGAAAACUUAAAAUUGAUCUUGCGGAUGUUGAAAUGAUCGGAUCCCACUUGAAAAGAAGCACACUGGUUGAGAAGAAAUUGAGAUGACAAACUCGAAGAUCAAGAAAGAUUAGUAUUUCACAUAGGAAUAUGAGAACAACAUUUAGGAAAGGUAUGGAUUCAACAUUUGACUUCGAAGCAACUCGAAUACCACAAAUAAAACAAAACAAAGGAUUGGGCUUGCAGAAUAAGCCGGAACAAACAUAUGAUAGAGAUUCCGUCUGAAGUUUUCAUGGUGGGGCCUACACGGGCUCGAUCGUACAUCACCAUCAUGUACAAGGCAGUGCACAUGACAUACGAAGUGUCCCCGAAUCGGCAUAGCCAAGGAUUCUUUAAGACACAACGAGACCACUGUAAAAAACAACCGUGGAUAGGCGGACCACUAGAUGUCGAACCCCAAUCUCAUAUCAUGCAUCUGUCGGAAAGAUAUUCUAGGAGCUACUUGAAUUCCCACCUAUAAAACUCCUGAAACUUUCUGGUCAUGCAAUCUGGUGUUGGGGAUACAGGGGAAGCAAUAUAUAUAUCUCGCCCAAAACUAACAAUCCCUACAACCAAGUUGUAUCCAUCCGUCAACACAUAACCAAGAAACCUUCGGAAAUCGUGUACCUCAACCUUCGAAAAGAAUCCGUUAUACAAGCUAUGGCAAUACUCCCGAACUCCCCAGUACUGGGUGGCGUCGAGGUUAUCUCACCAACAACUGCAUAAAAGAGAUUUUCGAUGUCGGCAAAACUCAGGUAUUGCAGAACUGCAACGACAAAAUUAUGAUGACAACACCUCGGAGCUCAACUCCCCGGGACACUGCCACAACCCCUAAAUGUCAGGAGGCACCAAGAACAAUGUUCUCAUCAUAAGAAUAUCGGAACGAUCCCAAGAUACCCGCGUGAUCCUAAAAAAAAUUUAGUGAAAUUUGAGGCGAGGAAAGACAAAACAUCUACGUCAGGAGGCCUCACCAGAGCGACGAAGGGGCUGAGGAGUAAAAAGAAUCCUACUCUCCGAUAUAUAUAAUCCUAAGACUCAAAACAUUUUUGUUCUAGACUCAACAACGCCAGCGAUUCGAUCAAGCAAGGGGCUCCUAAGUCGGGGAUGGCUCUGAUUACCAACUUGUAACACCCACGAUGCGGCUAUAUCUCCCAUGUGUCGAAGCACGACUUAGAGGCAUAACCGCAUUGUGGUUUUGUCGCAAGAAGGGUCAUCUUCACACAAUCCCAUGUAAUGAACAAGAUUGGGAUAAAGAGUUGGCUUACAAUCGCCACUUCACACAAGUACUUAAAUAAAUCAUACAUCAUUCAGAGUACACACAUAGUCCGACUACGGACGAAGCCAAAAGAAAAGAAGAUAACCCAACUGCUAGAUCCCCGAUCGUCCCAAUUGGGCUCCACUACUGAUCAACAAGAAACAACACAUAGCAACAACUAAGAUCUUCGUUGAGCUCCCAUCUAAGCUAGGUAGCAUCCUCUGCACUGGUAUCAUCGGCACCUGCAACUGUUGUGAUAGUAUCUGGUGAGUCACGAGGACUCAGCAAUCUCAAAACCCGCGAGAUCAAGACUAUUUAAGCUUAUAGGAAGGAUGGGGUAAUGAGGUGGAGCUGCAGCAAGCACUAAGCAAAUAUGGUGGCUAACAUACGCAAAAGAGAGCGAGAAGAGGAGCAAAGGAACGGUCGUCAACUAGAAAUGAUCAAGAGGUGAUCCUGAACUCCUACUUACGUCAAACAUAACCCAAAACCGUGUUCACUUCCUGGACUCCACCAAGAAGAGACCAUCACGGCUACACACGCGGUUGAUGCAUUUUAAUUUGGAUCUGGUGUCAAGUUGUCUACAACCGGACAUUAACAAAUUCCCAUCUGCCACAUAACCGCGGGCACGGCUCUCGAAAGUUUAUACCCUGCAGGGGUGUCCCAACUUAGCCCAUCACAAGCUCUCACGGUCAACGAAGGAUAUUCCUUCUCCCAGGAAGACCCGAUCAGUCACGGAAUCCCGGUUUACAAGACAUUUCGACAAUGGUAAAACAAGACCAGCAAGACCACCCGCUGUGCCGACAAAUCCCGAUAGGAGCUGCACAUAUCUCGUUCUCAGGGCACACCGGAUAAGCUAAGCGUACAGGUAUCGACGUAAUCCAAGUUGCCAAGGAAUGGUCCCGCACGGUGCUCUAGUUUGGACCAACACUCGAAGGAGCACUGGCCCGGGGGGAGGGGGUAAAAUAAAGAUGACCCUUGAGUCUGCAGAACCCAAGGGAAAAAGGCUUAGGUGGCAAAUGUUAAAACCAAGGUUGGGCCUUGCUGGAGGAGUUUUAUUCAAAACGAACUGUCAAGGGGUCCCAUAAAUCACCCAACCGCGUAAGGAACGCAAAAUCAAGGAACAUAACAUCGGUAUGACGGAAACUAGGGCGGCAAAAGUGGAACAAAACACCAGGCAUAAGGCCGAGCCUUCCACCCUCUACCAAGUAUAUAGAUACAUUAAUUAAAUAAGAGAUAUUGUCAUAUCCCAACAUAAUCCUGUCCAACAUGGAGCAAUCUUCAACUUCACCUGCAACUAGCAAUGAUAUAAGAGGGGCUGAGAAAAGCGGUAACAUAGCCAAGCAAUGGUUUGCUAGGAAGGGUGAAAAUGUUAAAGGCUGACAUGGCAAUCUGGGAGGCUUGGUAAAACAAGUGAUAGGUAGCGCAGCAUAGCGAUAGAACGGAGCAACUAGCAAGCAAAGAUAGAAGUGAUAUCAAGGGUAAUGGUCAUCUUGCCUGAGAUCCCGCAAGGAAGAAGAACGAGUCCAUGAAGAAGACAAACGCAUGUAGUCGCACGAAUCCUCACAACUCCGGAACGAAACCG
RNAcentral lists this long non-coding RNA (9540 nucleotides) under Triticum aestivum (bread wheat). RNAcentral describes it as "long non-coding RNA (TAES_LNC003433)". The record is from RNAcentral. Lineage: Eukaryota; Viridiplantae; Streptophyta; Magnoliopsida; Poales; Poaceae.